RNAcentral lists this ribosomal RNA (236 nucleotides) under uncultured bacterium. Its description in RNAcentral is "partial 16S ribosomal RNA". It matches the Rfam family "Bacterial small subunit ribosomal RNA", at positions 118 to 354 of the family's 1533-position model. The record is from RNAcentral.
UGAGGAACCUGCCCCGAAGACCGGGAUAACCCUCCGAAAGGAGAGCUAAUACCGGAUACCCCCACCGGAUCGCAUGAUCUGGUGAGGAAAUGGAUUCCGCUUCGGGAGGGCCUCGCGGCCUAUCAGCUAGUUGGUGGGGUAACGGCCCACCAAGGCUUCGACGGGUAACUGGUCUGAGAGGACGAUCAGCCACACUGGGACUGAGACACGGCCCAGACUCCUACGGGAGGCAGCAG